GGGGGUAUAGCUCAGUUGGCUAGAGCGCUUGCAUGGCAUGCAAGAGGCCAUGGGUUCAAGUCCCAUUACCUCCA
RNAcentral lists this transfer RNA (74 nucleotides) under Spirochaeta lutea. It matches the Rfam family "tRNA". Rfam says of the family: Transfer RNA (tRNA) molecules are approximately 80 nucleotides in length. Their secondary structure includes four short double-helical elements and three loops (D, anti-codon, and T loops). The record is from Rfam by way of RNAcentral. Lineage: Bacteria; Pseudomonadati; Spirochaetota; Spirochaetia; Spirochaetales; Spirochaetaceae.